UACGUAGGUGACAAGCGUUGUCCGGAUUUACUGGGCGUAAAGAGCGUGUAGGCGGCCAAACAGGUCCGUUGUGAAAACUGGAGGCUCAACCUCCAGACGUCGACGGAAACCGUGUGGCUAGAGUCCGGAAGAGGAGAGUGGAAUUCCUGGUGUAGCGGUGAAAUGCGCAGAUAUCAGGAAGAACACCAAUGGCGAAGGCAGCUCUCUGGGACGGUACUGACGCUGAGACGCGAAAGCGUGGGGAGCGAACAGG
This 253-nucleotide ribosomal RNA is filed under the name uncultured bacterium. RNAcentral's name for it is "partial 16S ribosomal RNA". It matches the Rfam family "Bacterial small subunit ribosomal RNA", at positions 524 to 776 of the family's 1533-position model. The record is from RNAcentral.